RNAcentral lists this long non-coding RNA (900 nucleotides) under Equus caballus (horse). RNAcentral's name for it is "lncRNA (ENSECAG00000047919.1)". Lineage: Eukaryota; Metazoa; Chordata; Mammalia; Perissodactyla; Equidae. The record is from RNAcentral.
GCCAAGACCAGUCCAGAUUCAAAGGGAAAGUAAUCAGAGCCCACUUCUAAAUGGGAGCAGGCACAGUGCUACAUGCCUCAUCACAGUCAACCCUUAUAAUCUCUUUGUUAGUUGGCUGGCCACAACAGGAGGGUUAAGGCAGAGAUUCUUCAGCCAGAAUUUAAAAAUCAGCAUCUGAAGGCCAAGGGUGGACAUGUGUACAAGUGCCAGUGGAAAAUGGCUUUUCUGGAAUAUCAGGUUUGGUCCUAAGAGACUAAGGGCACUCCACGUGGUGAGCAAUAAAUCUGGAUUCUGCUGUGUUUAAUUAAGCGUGUCACCAGCAUGGAAUGCGACCAUGGAUUGGCCUGUGACGAGCCUCCUUCUCCUAGAGAGAGAAGUUCUAGCCUCGUCUUCUGCUCCUGUGGAGUUUUCCAUUGCUUGGAAAUGGUUUGUAAGGUGAUGGAGUCCCAUGGAUGCCAGCUGGCAAAGGAAGAUCAGAGAAGGAGGAGAAGUUGAGUCAGUGGAGGGGAAAGAUUGCUGGAUGAUAUUUUCUUCACAGCUGUAGUGUCAAUAAAUAAAGACUUUGAUCACCCAUAAAGACCAAGGUUCCACGCUCCUGCCCUCUUUCUGCAAGUUAAUUGAUAAAUGUUAAGAGAAUGAUGUAGUGUCUUCUUACUAAUCCCUGAAAAGACUCUCUGAACACAGCAAUAUCAUCAUCAAGUGAACUUCACAAAUCCUAGGACAAAAGAGAGCUGAUAGCCAUGUCACACGUGCCUGAAUUUCCUGCACAGGUUUCUUGUUAUGUGGCAGCCCAAUCUAUGCCUGACCAUGUCCAGAGAACGGAAAUGCACCCUCUCAAAGGGAAGCCCAUUCCACCUCUGGAGAAUUCAAGUUAUUGAAAGGGUCUUGCUUAUAUUAUUG